Molecule: ribosomal RNA, 499 nt
Filed under: embryophyte environmental sample
Lineage: Eukaryota; Viridiplantae; Streptophyta
Description: eukaryotic LSU rRNA
Rfam family: 5.8S ribosomal RNA (bases 95-250)
Source: RNAcentral
UGCGCCAAGGAACUCAAACCUGUUAAGUGCGACUCCCGGGGGCCCGGAGACGGUGUCCCGCGGGAGCCGUCACGACACAACAUUUACAUACAAUGACUCUCGGCAACGGAUAUCUCGGCUCUUGCAUCGAUGAAGAACGUAGCGAAAUGCGAUACUUGGUGUGAAUUGCAGAAUCCCGUGAACCAUCGAGUCUUUGAACGCAAGUUGCGCCCGAAGCCAUUAGGCCGAGGGCACGCCUGCCUGGGUGUCACACAUCGUUUCCCCAACGCAAACAUGUAACAAUGUUGCUGCGCGGGGUGUAUGCUGACCUCCCGCGAGCACCCGCCUCGUGGUUGGUUGAAAUCUGGGUUCAUGGCCGACUUCGCCGUGAUAAAAUGGUGGAUGAGCCACGCUCGAGACCAAUCACGUGCGAGCCGGUCAGUUCUGGACCCAUCGACGACCCUUUGCGUGCACGCACGCUCCCAACGAGACCUCAGGACAGGCGGGGCUACCCGCUGAG